UGCCAUGAUUGUGAGGGGCGGGCGUACGUCCACGGACUUGUGCCCCCAUGACUGUAAAGGCAGAUACCCGCCUUCAAAACCCAGGUUACACCGUUCGCCAGCACUACAGUUAUGAGGGCGGGCACUAGUGCGGAAAAGCCAAGGCUGUGCAGUUACUGGCACGACUGCGAGGGACAGACGCAUUUUCGCUCCACUGCAACGCCAUGAUUAUGAGGGGCGAAUACACUUUCGGAGCGCCGCCUGCUUCGCCGUGAUUGCGAGAGCUCCAGUCAUAUCAUGUCCACCAUUCCCAGCAGAUGAAAUGAACCACAGCUGAAGGGCGGCCCCAGGAAAAGAUUCACGAGGGACAAACAGUGGAGAUGAAAUGCAUGAGACAAGAACAUGGGAUAGUCGUCACCGUGGCAAGUGGAGAAUAUCACACAAAACAAUACUAAUUCCUCAAUGAAUCACCAACUGGCCAGGAUUUAUCAUAAUGUAUAACUCUAAUAUGGUAAAAAAUUGAAAAGGUCUUAAAAUUCCAUAUAACCUCACAAGCAACAGA
Leptonychotes weddellii (Weddell seal) is the source of this 541-nucleotide non-coding RNA. The record is from RefSeq and is a predicted model, not a curated record. NCBI's taxonomy places the organism in Eukaryota, Metazoa, Chordata, Mammalia, Carnivora, Phocidae.